GAUGAACGCUGGCGGCGUGCCUAAUACAUGCAAGUCGAGCGAACGGACGAGAAGCUUGCUUCUCUGAUGUUAGCGGCGGACGGGUGAGUAACACGUGGAUAACCUACCUAUAAGACUGGGAUAACUUCGGGAAACCGUAGCUAAUACCGGAUAAUAUUUUGAACCGCAUGGUUCAAAAGUGAAAGACGGUCUUGCUGUCACUUAUAGAUGGAUCCGCGCUGCAUUAGCUAGUUGGUAAGGUAACGGCUUACCAAGGCAACGAUGCAUAGCCGACCUGAGGGGGGGUAGGCGCCCUGAGAAAGUGAGCGGCGGCACAGGGUCUGAGGGAAGGCACAAGCUGGUAAGGGUCGCAACAGGGGGGAAGACUGCCGGAUGAGCGGCAGGCUGAUGAAGAAGCGCCGCGGGCGGUAAAACUCUGUUAUGGGGGAAAAACGCUUUUGCAAGUAACGGAGCGCGAGUGACGGUAACCGAUAAAGAAGCCCCGGCUAACUACGUG
Molecule: ribosomal RNA, 496 nt
Filed under: uncultured bacterium
Lineage: Bacteria
Description: partial 16S ribosomal RNA
Rfam family: Bacterial small subunit ribosomal RNA
Source: RNAcentral